This 534-nucleotide ribosomal RNA is filed under the name uncultured bacterium. RNAcentral's name for it is "bacterial SSU rRNA". It matches the Rfam family "Bacterial small subunit ribosomal RNA", at positions 355 to 882 of the family's 1533-position model. The record is from RNAcentral.
UGGGGAAUUUUGGACAAUGGGGCAACCCUGAUCCAGCCAUUCCGCGUGAGUGAAGAAGGCCUUCGGGUUGUAAAGCUCUUUCAGCUGGAACGAAACGGUACGCUCUAACAUAGCGUGCUAAUGACGGUACCAGCAGAAGAAGCACCGGCUAACUACGUGCCAGCAGCCGCGGUAAUACGUAGGGUGCGAGCGUUAAUCGGAAUUACUGGGCGUAAAGCGUGCGCAGGCGGAUUGUUAAGCAAGACGUGAAAUCCCCGGGCUUAACCUGGGAAUGGCGUUUUGAACUGGCAGUCUAGAGUGUGUCAGAGGGGGGUAGAAUUCCACGUGUAGCAGUGAAAUGCGUAGAGAUGUGGAGGAAUACCAAUGGCGAAGGCAGCCCCCUGGGAUAACACUGACGCUCAUGUACGAAAGCGUGGGUAGCAAACAGGAUUAGAUACCCUGGUAGUCCACGCCCUAAACGAUGUCAACUGGUUGUUGGGGGAGUGAAAUCCCUUAGUAACGAAGCUAACGCGUGAAGUGACCGCCUGGAGACGC